Schistocerca gregaria is the source of this 437-nucleotide long non-coding RNA. RefSeq lists it as uncharacterized. The record is from RefSeq and is a predicted model, not a curated record. Lineage: Eukaryota; Metazoa; Arthropoda; Insecta; Orthoptera; Acrididae. The transcript is spliced from 2 exons.
GCCCCACCGCCGCCUCGACGGCGUCGCCUGCCACCGCGCCUACACCAUGGGCUGCCAGGACGGCUACCGAUGGUGCCACGGCUCCUGCUGCCGCAACGACUCCUUCUUCUACUAUCCCGACUUGCAGCCGGAGGAGAGGGUUGCUACUCCACGCCGCUCACAGACAAACAACCUCUUGAAUUUCGGCGUGCGGCGUGUGGUUGCAAGUGGUCCCAUAGACUGGACGAAGAUACUGGAUGGGACGUUUGUCAUCAUCGAGUAAUAACGCGUCAAGAAGCGGGAAGUGGCUGUGGUUGAUUGAAAUAUUGUUUUUCAUAGGUCUCCAGUGCUUUCUAACGAAAUAUAGAAUAGCUGCUGGAUACUUAUAGUAGAGGACUGACGUGAGAUAUUCUCUGUGUCGAGUAUCUAAAUCUCAACGAAUAAAACGGCGCACUGAU